RNAcentral lists this ribosomal RNA (470 nucleotides) under uncultured Micrococcaceae bacterium. Its description in RNAcentral is "bacterial SSU rRNA". It matches the Rfam family "Bacterial small subunit ribosomal RNA", at positions 28 to 511 of the family's 1533-position model. The record is from RNAcentral. Lineage: Bacteria; Bacillati; Actinomycetota; Actinomycetes; Micrococcales; Micrococcaceae.
GAUGAACGCUGGCGGCGUGCUUAACACAUGCAAGUCGAACGAUGAACCUCACUUGUGGGGGGAUUAGUGGCGAACGGGUGAGUAACACGUGAGUAACCUGCCCUUAACUCUGGGAUAAGCCUGGGAAACUGGGUCUAAUACCGGAUAUGACUCCUCAUCGCAUGGUGGGGGGUGGAAAGCUUUAUUGUGGUUUUGGAUGGACUCGCGGCCUAUCAGCUUGUUGGUGAGGUAAUGGCUCACCAAGGCGACGACGGGUAGCCGGCCUGAGAGGGUGACCGGCCACACUGGGACUGAGACACGGCCCAGACUCCUACGGGAGGCAGCAGUGGGGAAUAUUGCACAAUGGGCGAAAGCCUGAUGCAGCGACGCCGCGUGAGGGAUGACGGCCCUCGGGUUGUAAACCUCUUUCAGUAGGGAAGAAGCGAAAGUGACGGUACCUGCAGAAGAAGCGCCGGCUAACUACGUGCCAG